This 253-nucleotide ribosomal RNA is filed under the name uncultured bacterium. RNAcentral describes it as "partial 16S ribosomal RNA". It matches the Rfam family "Bacterial small subunit ribosomal RNA", at positions 524 to 776 of the family's 1533-position model. The record is from RNAcentral.
UACGAAGGGGGCUAGCGUUGCUCGGAAUCACUGGGCGUAAAGCGCACGUAGGCGGUUUGUUAAGUCGGAUGUGAAAUCCCUCGGCUCAACUGAGGAAGUGCAUCCGAAACUGGCAAGCUUGAGUACGAAAGAGGAUCGCGGAAUUCCCGGUGUAGAGGUGAAAUUCGUAGAUAUCGGGAGGAACACCGGUGGCGAAGGCGGCGAUCUGGGGCGAUACUGACGCUGAGGUGCGAAAGCGUGGGGAGCAAACAGG